CAAUAGCGUAUAUUAAAGUUGUUGCAGUUAAAAAGCUCGUAGUUGGAUUUCGGGGCAGCCUGGCUGGUCCGCCGCAAGGCGAGUACUGGUCAGCCGCCCUUCCUCUCGAAAGCCCCGACUGCUCUUCGUUGCAGUGGUCGGGUAGUUCGGGACGUUUACUUUGAAAAAAUUAGAGUGUUCAAGGCAGGCCUACGCCUGAAUACAUUAGCAUGGAAUAAUGGAAGAGGACCUCGGUCCUAUUUUGUUGGUUUCCAGGGCCGAAGUAAUGAUUAAGAGGGACAGUUGGGGGCAUUCGCAUUUAAUUGUCAGAGGUGAAAUUCUCGGAUUUAUGAAAGACGAACAACUGCGAAAGCAUUUGCCAAGGAUGUUUUCAUUAA
Molecule: ribosomal RNA, 377 nt
Filed under: uncultured eukaryote
Lineage: Eukaryota
Description: partial 18S ribosomal RNA
Rfam family: Eukaryotic small subunit ribosomal RNA
Source: RNAcentral